Non-coding RNA from Peromyscus maniculatus bairdii (prairie deer mouse), 1099 nucleotides. NCBI's taxonomy places the organism in Eukaryota, Metazoa, Chordata, Mammalia, Rodentia, Cricetidae. The record is from RefSeq and is a predicted model, not a curated record.
GGCAGCCGCACUCGGGAACCUGUGUGAGCACGCUCGCAAAAGUUGCGCAAGCGCGGAAGGGGUGGCCCCCAAUCUGGGGCGAAAGUCCCAGAACUAACAAGAGGGAUGGGGAAGUUAAUGGUUGACAAGGACCAGGAAAUCAUGGGAACCCUGGAGAAAAUGUUACGGCCUCCUUCGAGCCGGAAUCGAACCAGCGACCUAAGGAUGUCUCCUGCCGGGGAGUGAACUACAGUCCUCCGCUCUACCAGCUGAGCUAUCGAAGGGACACAAGGGCAGUUCUCGCCCCUUGACCCCGAACAGGUCUGUGGGGAGUUCGGCAAGAACAAACGGAACUGAGCAUGCGCACUUCCCAGGCCGCGCAACUUUCCCGGCCGCAAGUCGCUUUACGCACGCGCACAACCUCAGCUCCGCCUCACUGGCCCCCCCAUCUGCCAAUCUUCGGGAGGCUCGGGUGCUCGUCGGUCACGUGGCCUGCCUGUGGCACCCGGGUGACUGGUGAGGGCUGUCCCAUGCUGUCAUCCCGAAAGCCCCCACGGCCCCUCUCAUCGACGGGCCAGUGGCGCAAUGGAUAACGCGUCUGACUACGGAUCAGAAGAUUGUAGGUUCGACUCCUGCCUGGCUCGAGGUUUUUGUCACCUCGCCUUUUAGACCCAAACGCGUCUGAAUGGAACCCAGGACCCGGGAACACGCGAGCCCCAAAGAGCAACAGUGGAGUUUGCAGCUCUGCAGAGCCGUGUGCACAAAGCCCUGGCCCCUGCCUCUGCUCUUCUCAGCCCUUGAUGUGGAGACUGAACCCCUCCAUCACUCCCCCUCCAAACACAAUGCAGGGACACUCACCAAGAAUACUAAAGUUGUCUCUUUUUUAAAAAAACUGACUUCAAGGUCUAGCCAUUGAACCUGAGCAUGUGGACGCUUUUCCCGUGAUACAAUCAGCAUAGAAGUGUGUUGCCUCCACAAAGCUGCUGGGCACUACUCCAGAACGAUGGAAAGGAAGACCCAAGUCCCGGACCUGAUGGAGCACUCGGUUUGGAGAGGCAGACAGACGAUAACACAUGUUGUACACUCAACGGAGCUGAGGGCCAAAGAGAGAGGUGAGGCA